GCGUCGGUGGUUCAGUGGUAGAAUACUCGCCUGCCACGCGGUGACCCGGGUUCGAUUCCCGGCCGACGCA
RNAcentral lists this transfer RNA (70 nucleotides) under Rhipicephalus microplus (southern cattle tick). Its description in RNAcentral is "tRNA-Gly". It matches the Rfam family "tRNA". From Rfam's summary of the family: Transfer RNA (tRNA) molecules are approximately 80 nucleotides in length. The record is from Rfam by way of RNAcentral. Lineage: Eukaryota; Metazoa; Arthropoda; Arachnida; Ixodida; Ixodidae.